Molecule: unclassified non-coding RNA, 266 nt
Filed under: Clostridioides difficile E7
Lineage: Bacteria; Bacillati; Bacillota; Clostridia; Peptostreptococcales; Peptostreptococcaceae
Also listed under: 1 other name
Description: Intron_gpI
Source: RNAcentral
AACAAUUGGUUAACAAAAUAGCCCCUUUAUAUAGCGAUAUAUAAUUGAACUCAGAAUAUCAGGGAAAGUCCUUAAAGCUUUAAUUACCAAGCAUUAGAGAAAUCAAAAUGUGGCAUUGCUAAUCACAAUGGUAUGGUAAUAAGAUUAAAGAUUGGAUAAUCCUGAGACACAGUCCUAAGUCAAUUGAUAAGGAAAGGUCGCAACGACUAUCAAUGAGUAUCUUAUGAAAGAUAAUGGUAUAGUCUAUUCCCAUUUUUAAAUAUCUG